This 110-nucleotide ribosomal RNA is filed under the name Ascomycota sp. MA5359. RNAcentral describes it as "partial 5.8S ribosomal RNA". The stretch from base 1 to 88 matches the Rfam family "5.8S ribosomal RNA", at positions 67 to 154 of the family's 154-position model. Rfam says of the family: 5.8S ribosomal RNA (5.8S rRNA) is a component of the large subunit of the eukaryotic ribosome. It is transcribed by RNA polymerase I as part of the 45S precursor that also contains 18S and 28S rRNA. The record is from RNAcentral. Lineage: Eukaryota; Fungi; Ascomycota.
GUGAAUNGCAGAAUUCAGUGAAUCAUAGAAUCUUUGAACGCACAUUGCGCCCCCUGGUAUUCCGGGGGGCAUGCCUGUUCKAGCGUCAUUUCACCACUCAAGCCUCGCUU